AAGAAAAUAAAUAUUUUUUUCCUUUUACUCUCUCUCUCUCUAUCCGUCUUCUUCCUUUCUCAUCUUCAACCUAACCUAUCACCUCCUCCUCUCUCUUCUCACAGGUAUCAUCUCCGGCGCACCUCCGCCCGACCUCGGUGAGGCAUUCUACCACAACCGAUGGACGAGAUUCCCACCGAAGCUUGUUCUCCCUCUCGAUCUCGCUUGAGUUCUCUCCACUCUCUCAAUCCCUCUCUUUCUGGAUCCACUCUCUUAGUCCCUCUCUUUCUCGAUUUCUCUCUGCUCGAAGCCGGACAGAGCAAUCGCACAAGAGGACAACAAGGUUGAGAUCGGGGCAUCUUGAUGGAUCUGGGAAGCUUGAGUGUUGGGGUUGCAAUCGCACAAGAGGAUGACGAUGAUGUUGCAAUCGCACAAGAGGACUGGAUGAUGUUUCUGUACAGUCAAGAAAAUCGCACAAGAGGACGGCAUUUGGAUGGAUCUGGGAUGCUUGAGUGCUGUUUUGGGAUAUUUGAGUAGAGUUUGUUAACCUUGAAUUGAAGUAGAAGAAAGCACUUUCACAGCUACUUGAGUAUUGUCAUCUAUCAAGCCAUGACAACAAAAACAGCCACUGCUAUCAACAAAGUCACAACCAAACCACCAAGUACUGAUGCUAAAAUUGGUUAGAUCAGUUUUCUCUUAGUGAGAAUGUUUGUGAAUGGUUUUGGCUGAGAAAUUUUUUUGAGAUUUUUGGUUGAAGACGAUGGUGAGGGAGAUGAAGAACACAAUGGAGAAGACGAUUUGAGGUUCUAAGUUUUGUUCUUUUCUGUGAUUUUAGCAGAUAUGGUAUGUGAAAUAGGGCUGUUGUUGCUGAGGAGGAAGAAGACGAUGACGAUGGGGGGUGUUCUCUCGUUUGCACCUCUAGUUCUCAGAAGACGAUGAUGAAGAAGACUAUGACUAUGUGUUUGUUAAUUGUGUAAUUUUUUUAUUUUAAAAAAUAAGUUUUAUUUAAUUUUUAAAUAUAUAAGAAUUAAUGAUAAAAAAUAUUGAUUAUAUUUAUUUUUGUUUAUUUUUAAUAUUUUUAAAAUCAUUU
Cannabis sativa is the source of this 1069-nucleotide long non-coding RNA. RefSeq lists it as uncharacterized. The record is from RefSeq and is a predicted model, not a curated record. The transcript has 3 exons. NCBI's taxonomy places the organism in Eukaryota, Viridiplantae, Streptophyta, Magnoliopsida, Rosales, Cannabaceae.